GGGGGCGAUGUGGCUGUCGACCGGAGGUUUCGUGUAGCAGAUGGUUGCACGGCGGGGACGCAAGUAACCCCGUAAAAUCCUCUGGCAACAAAAUAACCGACACGCAUAAUGCGUAUCGCCUCGCUGCUUAAUUAGCGGCGACCUCGCUUCUAUCUUGCCCUCGAGGUGGAGAGCGGGGAACGGUAGAGGGCUGGGUCACAUAUCUUGGCUCGGAGGAGGUGUGAUGACGAUUUAAUCCGAGAUAGUCGAACGCGAAUCCUGUUCGUCGGAGUUGCGUUUGGCGAAUGAAAAAGACGAACUAACCGUGUAGAUGCCGACUGUUACGCCCUUCGGGACGGGGGUUCGAUUCCCCCCGCCUCCAUUU
Molecule: transfer-messenger RNA, 364 nt
Filed under: Planctomycetota
Lineage: Bacteria; Pseudomonadati
Also listed under: 1 other name
Description: c MHYJ01 X1 Standard tmRNA
Rfam family: transfer-messenger RNA
About the family: Bacterial tmRNA, also known as 10Sa RNA or SsrA, is named for its dual tRNA and mRNA-like properties. Its role is to liberate the mRNA from a stalled ribosome. To accomplish this part of the tmRNA is used as a reading frame that ends in a translation stop signal.
Source: RNAcentral